RNAcentral lists this ribosomal RNA (426 nucleotides) under uncultured bacterium. RNAcentral's name for it is "bacterial SSU rRNA". It matches the Rfam family "Bacterial small subunit ribosomal RNA", at positions 34 to 507 of the family's 1533-position model. The record is from RNAcentral.
CGCUGGCGGCAUGCCUAACACAUGCAAGUCGAACGAGACCUUCGGGUCUAGUGGCGCACGGGUGCGUAACACGUGGGAAUUUGCCUCGGGGUAUGGAAUAACUCAGGGAAACUUGAGCUAAUACCAUAUAAUGUCUUCGGACCAAAGAUUUAUCGCCCUGAGAUAAGCCCGCGUAGGAUUAGCUAGUUGGUGGGGUAAAGGCUCACCAAGGCGACGAUCCUUAGCUGGUCUGAGAGGAUGAUCAGCCACACUGGGACUGAGACACGGCCCAGACUCCUACGGGAGGCAGCAGUGGGGAAUAUUGGACAAUGGGCGAAAGCCUGAUCCAGCAAUGCCGCGUGAGUGAUGAAGGCCUUCGGGUUGUAAAGCUCUUUACUCGGGACGAUAAUGACGGUACCGAGAGAAUAAGCCCCGGCUAACUCCGUG